AUUCCAGCUCCAAUAGCGUAUAUUAAAGUUGUUGUGGUUAAAAAGCUCGUAGUUGGAUCUCAACAGCCUUGAAGCGGUUAACUUUGUAGUUUUACUGCUUUAUAGGCUGUGCUUUUGCUGGAGGUUUAGGGGUGCUCUUGAUCGAGUGUCUCUGGAUGCCAGCAGGUUUACUUUGAAAAAAUUAGAGUGCUCAAAGCAGGCUAAAAUGCCUGAAUAUUCGUGCAUGGAAUAAUAGAAUAGGAUGUCGAUCCUAUUUUGUUGGUUUUCGGGACUCGACAUAAUGAUAAAUAGGGACAGUCAGGGCACUCGUAUUCCGCCGAGAGAGGUGAAAUUCUCAGACCAGCGGAAGACGAACCACUGCGAAAGCAUUUGCCAGGGAUGUUUUCAUCG
Molecule: ribosomal RNA, 390 nt
Filed under: Paracalanus sp.
Lineage: Eukaryota; Metazoa; Arthropoda; Copepoda; Calanoida; Paracalanidae
Description: partial small subunit ribosomal RNA
Rfam family: Eukaryotic small subunit ribosomal RNA
Source: RNAcentral